AAGUCGUAACAAGGUUUCCGUAGGUGAACCUGCGGAAGGAUCAUUCAUAAUAAAAGUGUUUUAUGGCACUUUUAAAACAAUCCAUAUCCACCUUGUGUGCAAUGUUUUUUUUUUAAAACUCUUUAUUUUUAAUAUGUUUUGUCUGAAAUAUUUUACGAAUUUACUUAAUUCAAAAAUAUAACUUUCAACAACGGAUCUCUUGGCUCUC
Molecule: unclassified non-coding RNA, 208 nt
Filed under: Mortierella sp.
Lineage: Eukaryota; Fungi; Mortierellomycota; Mortierellomycetes; Mortierellales; Mortierellaceae
Description: partial internal transcribed spacer region
Rfam family: Eukaryotic small subunit ribosomal RNA (bases 1-46)
Source: RNAcentral